RNAcentral lists this ribosomal RNA (301 nucleotides) under uncultured bacterium. Its description in RNAcentral is "partial 16S ribosomal RNA". It matches the Rfam family "Bacterial small subunit ribosomal RNA", at positions 509 to 808 of the family's 1533-position model. The record is from RNAcentral.
CAGUAGCCGCGGUAAUACGUAGGGUGCAGCGUUAAUCGGAAUUACUGGGCGUAAAGCGCACGUAGGCGGCUUUGUAAGUCAGAGGUGAAAGCCUGGAGCUCAACUCCAGAACUGCCUUUGAGACUGCAUCGCUUGAAUCCAGGAGAGGUGAGUGGGAUUCCGAGUGUAGAGGUGAAAUUCGUAGAUAUUCGGAAGAACACCAGAGGCGAAGGCGGCUCACUGGACUGGUAUUGACGCUGAGGUGCGAAAGCGUGGGGAGCGAACAGGAUUAGAGACCCCGGUAGUCCCUGUCUCUUAUACC